Molecule: non-coding RNA, 72 nt
Organism: Schistosoma mansoni
Lineage: Eukaryota; Metazoa; Platyhelminthes; Trematoda; Strigeidida; Schistosomatidae
Source: Rfam
GGCUCGUUGGUCUAGGGGUAUGAUACUCGCUUAGGGUGCGGGUGGUCCCGGGUUCGAAUCCCGGACGAGCCC